UAUUAGUAAGUAUCAUUGCUACAUUUAUGAGUUUUAUUUUUUAAUUAAAUAAUUUUUUUUUUUUGCGGAUUCACAGAUUUUUGCGGAUUUACAGAAGUAAAUUCAUAUCCAAUCUAUCGACUGCGGAUUUUUAAAUUUUCAUUCCAAUCCGAUCCACCAAUCCACGGAUCAGAUUUUUACAGAUCGGACAGAUUGAGCGGAUCGGAUUGGAUUCUGAACACCCCUAUGAUAUGGGGAGUAAUCUUUUGUAAUUAGGUAUUCUUAGUCUAAAAUUGUUACUCCAUGAAUAUUGUGAUUAUUUAAACCUUUAGGGUGUGUUUAGAACACCACACUACACCGGAUCAGAACCUUGCAUAGCAUUACAUUAAUACAAUAAUGUGUCUGGCUAAAAGAUGACAUGUAUAAUAUCACUGUUGUAAUGCACCAAAUCACGCAUUAACCAAAGCCGUGGGGGGUCUGUGUUUACGCGUGAUUGGCUGAUUGCAUUACCAAAAGACACAAAAUUAAAACAAAAUAUAAUCUAUCGUUUUCUUUUCGUCACACAAGCACCCACUCACCCAGAACAAACCCAUAGCCUUUCCUUCCUUCAUCACUGACGCCAUCAGAGUCCACCACUGCUGCGCCUUCACUGCCAGAAUCAUCGCAACCAGUCAGUGGGUCUUUUACUUUCUUGGAUACUUUUUAUUUGUGGUGAAAAUUGUGGGUUUUUUUUUUUUAAGUUUCGAUUUAAAGUAGAAGAAUUCAAUCGGUUUUUGGAAUCGUUGGUGGGUUUAUUAGUAAUUAUUAUUUAUUUCUCUUUUAUGACUAGUUGGCUUUUUCAUUUUGUUAAUGGUAUUUCUCUUCUUGAUUUGAAGAAAUAGAUUUUUAGUUAAUAAGUGAGAUCUAAUUACAAAGAAUGAGAAAGAAUAAUUUACUUGUUUGUUUGUUUGAUUAGAUUAUUAGUAAACUUGAGUAACGGCAGUUAUAUGAUCAGGUGAUUUCGUGUACUUCAAAGGUUUAAAUUGAAUCGAAGUGGGAGUAGAGAGUAUGCUAUAUAGUAAGGAAUACAUAACUGAUAUUGUAGAGCAAGGAUCGAAAUUACUAGCUUAGUGAAUUGAAAUUACUUAAGGUCUACUUCUUCUUCAAUCAUUUUAUUUUGGCUCUAAAAUGAAUUAUUAUCUUGAAUAUUUUGGUAGUUAAUUUUUUUAAUAAAGAAGAAAUAACUUUUUUCAAGUGUUUAAGAAUGUAAUUUUUAGGCACCAAUCCUUUGGUGCUAUAAUUCCCCAUUUCUGAACAUUAUAUUUCUAUGAUUAAUUAUUAAUUUGUGGGUUAUAUAGUGACUUUGGUGGUACUUUUGACAAAUAAUUUGAUGUGGUUUAACAGGAUGGAUGUGGUAGUAUGGAAAUGGAGCAACCUUGCACUCAAGCUAUUAUGUUUUUUCUAGAAGAAAAAACAACAAAAAAUUGAUGGAAUGAGAUGAACGUUGAGGUUAGAAUGAGAUGAAUAUUGAAGUUAUCAAAAUAUCAUAGGAAAAAGAGGGAUAGGAAAGCUGUUUGGUUGGAAUUGCAUUUUAUUUUUUAUUUUUUUUAAGACACCACAUGUUUAACUAUUUAUUUAUAUUGAGAUGUUUAUUAAAGCUUUUUUUAUUUUAUUUGGCUGGAGCUUUAUUUUAGAUGAUACACAUUUGAGAAAUGUAGAGAAAACAAAUGUUAUAUUGUUUAAAAGUAUAGAAUUUAGUAGUUUUGCAAUGCAAAAUAAGAUUGAUAUAUUUUACAUAUUAUAUUAAAAAAAGUAGGAUAAUUAAGU
This 1785-nucleotide long non-coding RNA is filed under the name Citrus x clementina. RNAcentral's name for it is "Citrus clementina (C. clementina) long non-coding RNA (CCLE_LNC005201)". Lineage: Eukaryota; Viridiplantae; Streptophyta; Magnoliopsida; Sapindales; Rutaceae. The record is from RNAcentral.